AAAAAAAUUAUAGCAAAACAAACUAAAUAUGUAUAAGUAAAAAUAAGAAAAAGAAAAAGUAAGUUUUGUCUUUAUUUGAUUACAUGACAAAACAAGAGAAGGUUAUAAAGGUCAUUUACAAAUUAGAGAAGAAAAAGAAAUGUGUCUAUUCUCCAUAUUUAUAAAAAAAACUACCUACUUUACAAAUUAUUUUUGUAAAAAGUAUCUACUUCACAAAAUAUCUCAAUCAUUUAAUCUGAUUUUAGACCGACAUUAUAAUCUUACCUUUCACACAACAAAUUCGUUCAUUUG
This 291-nucleotide small RNA is filed under the name Arabidopsis thaliana (thale cress). RNAcentral describes it as "ATSL024920". Lineage: Eukaryota; Viridiplantae; Streptophyta; Magnoliopsida; Brassicales; Brassicaceae. The record is from RNAcentral.